Molecule: ribosomal RNA, 489 nt
Filed under: uncultured Glomeraceae
Lineage: Eukaryota; Fungi; Glomeromycota; Glomeromycetes; Glomerales; Glomeraceae
Description: SSU rRNA
Rfam family: Eukaryotic small subunit ribosomal RNA
Source: RNAcentral
GUUGUUGCAGUUAAAAAGCUCGUAGUUGAAUUUCGGAAUCAAUGUUUCGGUCAUGCCGUUGGUAUGUACUGAUAUUAUUGAUUUCUCACCUUCUAAAGAACCGUAAUGCCAUUAAUUUGGUGUCACGGGGAAUUAGGACUGUUACCUUGAAAAAAUUAGAGUGUUUAAAGCAGGCUCACGCUUGAAUACAUUAGCAUGGAAUAAUGAAAUAGGACAUCCGAUUCUAUUUUGUUGGUUUCUAGGAUCGAUGUAACGAUUAAUAGGGAUAGUUGGGGGCAUUAGUAUUCAAUUGUCAGAGGUGAAAUUCUUGGAUUUAUUGAAGACUAACUACUGCGAAAGCAUUUGCCAAGGAUGUUUUCAUUAAUCAAGAACGAAAGUUAGGGGAUCGAAGACGAUCAGAUACCGUCGUAGUCUUAACCAUAAACUAUGCCGACUAGGGAUCGGAUGAUGUUAAUUUUUUAAUGACUCAUUCGGCGCCUUACGGGAAAC